GAUGAACGCUGGCGGCGUGCCUAAUACAUGCAAGUCGAGCGAACAGACGAGGAGCUUGCUCCUCUGACGUUAGCGGCGGACGGGUGAGUAACACGUGGAUAACCUACCUAUAAGACUGGGAUAACUUCGGGAAACCGGAGCUAAUACCGGAUAAUAUAUUGAACCGCAUGGUUCAAAAGUGAAAGACGGUUUUGCUGUCACUUAUAGAUGGAUCCGCGCCGCAUUAGCUAGUUGGUAAGGUAACGGCUUACCAAGGCAACGAUGCGUAGCCGACCUGAGAGGGUGAUCGGCCACACUGGAACUGAGACACGGUCCAGACUCCUACGGGAGGCAGCAGUAGGGAAUCUUCCGCAAUGGGCGAAAGCCUGACGGAGCAACGCUGCGUGAGUGAUGAAGGUCUUCGGAUCGUAAAACUCUGUUAUUAGGGAAGAACAAAUGUGUAAGUAACUAUGCACGUCUUGACGGUACCUAAUCAGAAAGCCACGGCUAACUACGUG
Molecule: ribosomal RNA, 497 nt
Filed under: uncultured bacterium
Lineage: Bacteria
Description: partial 16S ribosomal RNA
Rfam family: Bacterial small subunit ribosomal RNA
Source: RNAcentral